AGAACGAACGCUGGCGGCAGGCUUAACACAUGCAAGUCGAGCGCUCGCCAUUCUUAGCAAUAAGGAUGGCGGGAGCGGCAGACGGGUGAGUAACGCGUGGGAACAUACCCUCCGGUUCGGAAUAACGCAGGGAAACUUGUGCUAAUACCGGAUACGGUCGAGAGGCGAAAGAUUCAUCGCCGGAGGAUUGGCCCGCGUUCGAUUAGCUAGUUGGCGGGGUAAUGGCCCACCAAGGCGACGAUCGAUAGCUGGUCUGAGAGGAUGAUCAGCCACAUUGGGACUGAGACACGGCCCAAACUCCUACGGGAGGCAGCAGUGGGGAAUAUUGGACAAUGGGCGCAAGCCUGAUCCAGCCAUGCCGCGUGAGUGAUGACGGCCUUAGGGUUGUAAAGCUCUUUCGCUAGGGACGAUAAUGACGGUACCUAGACAAGAAGCCCCGGCUAACUUCGUGCCAGCAGCCGC
Molecule: ribosomal RNA, 462 nt
Filed under: uncultured bacterium
Lineage: Bacteria
Description: SSU rRNA
Rfam family: Bacterial small subunit ribosomal RNA
Source: RNAcentral